RNAcentral lists this long non-coding RNA (553 nucleotides) under Equus asinus (donkey). Its description in RNAcentral is "lncRNA (ENSEASG00005026898.1)". Lineage: Eukaryota; Metazoa; Chordata; Mammalia; Perissodactyla; Equidae. The record is from RNAcentral.
CAGCAUCUCUGCAAUGAAGUUUAACUUCCUAAGCAUCAUGAACUUCUUAAGCAUCUUGAGAGCUGGAGGCAGAGACCUCCACAGUCCUAGGACUGGCAGUUCAAGACGCAAGGGCUCUGGGUCCUCGAAUUGCCAUGUGGAGGAAUGCUGACUGCCUACCAGAAACAUUCACAUUGAAUUUUUAGAGGGUGUGACGCUGACAUAGAAGAAAGUACACUGGCUUUGGUGGAAGGCAGACCUGGCACAACUCCUGUCACUGGCUCUUGUAACUCCUUUUAAUUUGGACAAGAUACUUUGUCUGAACCCCAGUUUUCUCAUCUAGAAAAUGGGAAUCAUAGUGUUCGGGAUUGUUAAAAGGACUAAGGAUUAUUUCUGUGAUGCAGUUGUUCAACCACGCUCUCAACAAAUUUAUGCACUGGACACCAACUGUGCACCUAGCACUCCUUCUAGGCUCUUGAGAUCCAUAAGAGAGAAACAAAGAUCCGCAUUCUCAUGGAGCUUGCAAUUUCAGAAAGAGGAGCUAAAUGGUAAACAAUAAAGAAAAUAAAUAAGU